This 422-nucleotide ribosomal RNA is filed under the name uncultured bacterium. RNAcentral describes it as "bacterial SSU rRNA". It matches the Rfam family "Bacterial small subunit ribosomal RNA", at positions 355 to 774 of the family's 1533-position model. The record is from RNAcentral.
UGAGGAAUAUUGGUCAAUGGGCGCAAGCCUGAACCAGCCAUGCCGCGUGCAGGAUGAAGCAUCUAUGGUGUGUAAACUGCUUUUGUACGGGAAGAAACCACCCCUCGUGAGGGGUAUUGACGGUACCGUAAGAAUAAGGAUCGGCUAACUCCGUGCCAGCAGCCGCGGUAAUACGGAGGAUCCAAGCGUUAUCCGGAAUCAUUGGGUUUAAAGGGUCCGUAGGCGGGUCUGUAAGUCAGUGGUGAAAUCUCCCCGCUCAACGGGGAAACUGCCAUUGAUACUGCAGGUCUUGAAUUAUUGGGAAGUAACUAGAAUAUGUAGUGUAGCGGUGAAAUGCUUAGAGAUUACAUAGAACACCGAUUGCGAAGGCAGCUCACUACGGAUGUAUUGACACUGAGGCACGAAAGCGUGGGGAUCAAACA